UUGUGAAUUUCUUCAUAAUGCAGAGUAUCCCUCCUUUUUUUUACUACAUUGAAAGUCCCAACAUUAUUAUGGAUUUUAAGAAAUCUAUCAUUCAUAAGACCAGAGCAUAUCUUAAUUUUUGUCAAUUUGGUUGGAGGGGUCGUGUGGGCACAAUUUCAUAACUUUACUUGUCGAUUCCAACAUUCCAACCAUUCCUUAAACAUUCCUUAAACAUUGUUUUAAUUUUAUGAUAUCUUUUAUCAAAAUUCAUGUUCAAAAGAGUGAAUUAUAUUGAAAGUUAAAUGAACAAGCUUCCUGAUUGUAAUGAUUUUGUUUUGGAAUUCCACUGUUGCCGAAAUAUCUUCUCCUACUACCUCUACCAUUAUCAAACCUUUUAUCACUUAUAUAUCAAUGGACUAAAGCACCAGUUUCAACAGAUAUAGAAACAGAAAGGAGAAAGGUGAUGUAAUUACUAAUUACGGUCAAUUGAGUUCGACUGUAUCACGAAGUGAAGCAUCUAUCCAGAUGUCGUUCAAGAUUUUCAUCACAAAUUGUCAUCACGACCCCAAGAAUAACUCGCCUGCUGCGAUCUACCGAAACGGCCCCAAAUUGUUGAGCGAAUUCGCUUUGCAAGUUCAAACCCCCCGCAUGUCCAGCUGAGAAGAAAUGUCUUCCGAAGCUGGCAACAUGGGCAUGGAUGGUCACAGAGGACUGAAGAUAGUUUGGAUUUUGGAACUUCAGGUUACUACUAAGUAUUUUUUCACGAGAGGAACGCAAAAGCUGCUGCUAGUAAGGCCACCUCAUCUUUCUCGACUUAAGGGCAGACUUUUAGGGACUUUGGGAUCUGGAAGUAAACAUCUGGAGUAAAUUCAGAUUGAAUUGUUGGGAAAUCUGGUCAAUCGGUUCAUCCAUCAAAUUGGCCUAGAAAAGGGAAGUCCUGAUGGAUUUGGUCGUAGACAUUUAUUUAUUUUUAUUUUUUAUGUUUAUGGGUGGGGCACUGAAGAAGACAUCUGGCGGCAAGAUUUGUCUUCAAUUGUUGGCGCGUAGACUCUAGCCCCUACCUUCUUCUUGGUUCCCUGUUAGUUGAAGCGUAUGUUUCGAGAGUAAGGGAAAAGGGACGUAUUGUCGUUGGUUGGGGCUUGUGGGUUUUUAUGUUAGCUACAUUGCUUGAUGGAUGUAUUUCUACCUGUGAUGAUGACGGAUCUUGAAGCUAAAGGAUUUGAAAACCGUGCUGUUCCACAUGUCCAGAAGCUGAGUGACUGGCACCUUUAAAAUAUGAAACUUCACUUCAGCCUUCCAAUCUAGGACUUGUAUCUAAUUGUGCAGGCUGCGUGGAAUUCUCAUUUACCUUUGCUGUGAAUGUCAAUUGGAUGUACACUCUUGAAGGCUAGUAAGACGAAUUUUGAUGCUGAAAAACUUGGAAACUAUGCUGUUCACCAUGUCGAGAAGCUGAGUAACAUUCUGCAUGUACAAUGUUGUGAAUGGCACCUCUUAAUGUUAGGAACUUCAGCCAUCCAAUCUAGGACUUGCAUCCAAUCGUGCAGGCUGCAUGGAAGUCUCAUUUACCUUUGCGUGAGCAUCAUGAACACAGACACUAUUUGAAGGUUCAUGUUUACAUAGCAGUGGUGUUGCUGUCCAAUGUGGCGUGUUGUUGCAGCCUAUGGUGGUGAAAGAUACCUGCAUCAAGUUGCUGUUCCUUGUGCAUCCAUGGUGCUGGUUUUGUGCUACAAAAGUGACAUCCAGUAUUGUGUUAAAUUGCUAUUUGUGUCUGCAGUUUACCUUUUAAAUAUUGAGAAGGAAUCAAAAAAGUAAUAUGGGAAGUUUAUGUCAAACAAAUAAUAAACAUGUCCGCGAUGGGGGAAUGAGGAGGAAGUUGGGGUGGGAUAUUUGGUUAAGAUUUACUAAAAGAAGUGAGGUAUAUAUUUUUUAAUGAAUAUGCAGAACUCGCUGAUAAAAUCUGUUGUCAACCCAUAUAACCUUCCCCACUUACACAUCCAUUCCUCAAACCUUAUAAGCCUCAAUAUUAAAUUCCACAUCCAUUCCUCAAACC
Daphnia pulex (common water flea) is the source of this 2029-nucleotide long non-coding RNA. RefSeq lists it as uncharacterized. The record is from RefSeq and is a predicted model, not a curated record. Lineage: Eukaryota; Metazoa; Arthropoda; Branchiopoda; Diplostraca; Daphniidae. The transcript has 9 exons.